CUCCUUACUCCUCGACGAAACCCUAGGCUUUCUCGUCCUCCAAAUCCCUCUUCGUCCCAGUUUCCAAUCCCUCUUUCGCCAAUCGAAUCCCUCCCAAGGUAACAUCGGCUCCUGUCAGUAACCCUUUUCGUCCGUCGCCGCUCGGACGGAGGCUUCUCUCUCAGGCAUGUUGGAACUUUCCUGUGUCCCUCUUUCGAUCCCGUUGUCGCCCUGGCGAAAAUGAUGCUACUGUGGUGUUAGUGAGCUUGGAGACGCCGCAUUGAAGAAGAAGAAGAAGAAGAAGAAGAAGAAGAAGAAGAAGAAGAAGAAGCUUCAUUCCGUUGUCUCUGCUCAUCGAUCGCGGCCUUACAAAGAGCAGAUGUUCCUCGGAGGUGUAGGAUGGUCUUCUGUACCUUUAAUCGUGGAUACCACCACCUAUCUUAUCUCUCUGAUGAAGAAGUGUCAGUUCGUCGAGAAAUGUCUCAAAAUCGUUGACGAGAAAGCCAGAAGGAUGGAUCAGAUAUUCGUUUUCCAGGUCAGAGAGUAUUUAGCUGUCUUAUGGCUUUCAUCAGCUAGAUGGGUGGAUACUUCUACAACUAUCUGAUUUACCAAAUA
Non-coding RNA from Musa acuminata subsp. malaccensis (wild Malaysian banana), 594 nucleotides. The record is from RefSeq and is a predicted model, not a curated record. NCBI's taxonomy places the organism in Eukaryota, Viridiplantae, Streptophyta, Magnoliopsida, Zingiberales, Musaceae.